AUGUGGCUCAGCUGCCUUCCCAGCUCCCACCAGAGCCUCCAGCAAUGCUGCCUCUUGCUCUUGGCCUCGGAGCAGGCCUGUGCACCUGUCUGGCUUGUACCAAAUCUGCUUCUGAAAGAUGUCCAGGGAGACUGGUGCUUCCUCAUUCAUCUCCCAGCAUUUUUCCAAAGCAAGAGGAGCCUUCACUUUCUGCUACAGAACGAAUUGCUUCCCCCUGCACCGCUGAAACUGCUGUUUGCUGAGUUCCCUUUGUGCCAGGCACUUCCAGAGACUCAGGGCUGGAUCAGGCCUUUCAAAGACUCUCCCGUACACUACUUCCAAGGUUUCAAGGCUCACCUGCUUUUUAGCAAGCCGGCACUUACACCAAUGUUGAUGGAUGCUUUUUCCCUACUUCUUGCUCUUUGUGAAUGAGCUGUUGGCAAGCGCUCCUGACUGCAGCUGCUGAUGCCUUAAUCUCUCUUUAUGGAGAUACGGAGGUUGCCUUCAGCGAGUCCCUAAAGUCCAUUGCUGCAGUGUUGAAAAGCUUGGUUCACUGCAGGAACAGAGCGCAGUCUGCAGAGGCAAGUUCACUGACCUGACGGUGGAGCUGAUUCUGCUGGGACACAUGGGGAGCCAACACCCCCAGCACCUUGCAGCACAUGUCCUGCAGCUGCAGGUCUGGUUGCAGCUGUGUGAGCACGUCUGAGUUAGCUUCAGUUACUGUAUGAAUGCUCCAUCUGGGAUAAACCUGCCUUUUGCACCCCCAUCCUUCAGGAAAAACCAAAGUGUUUGGGCUGAGAUCUCUUUAAUUCUUGUGCUCUGCUGCUGGCUGCAAGACUUGGGGCUGCUUUGAACUGCAGCCUAGAAAGGAGCCUAGAGGUGGAGGAGAGCCACGCUCCCUCCCUGCACAGCCAGGCCUGUGGAGGAGCUGACCUCUGGUUCUUCAGUGCAGAGGAAAAAAAUAUUCAAAGCAGGUUAGGCUUGACCUACAUUCAGUCUUUGCAGUGUGCAAGUUCUCCUCUUCCUGCACUUUUCUCGUGGUGACCUUUUGUUCCUAGGAGGUAGAUUAAGAAGUGCUCUGAGGUAUCACUGUAUGUUUUGUAAAGCAAAAUUUUCCUUCCAACAGGAAAGAAUAAUUUGAAGAUUAUUUCAGUUACAGGAAAUCCCACAGUCGAAUUAAAAAAAGGAAACUUGUUCUUGCAAAGUCUUCAAAUAUCGUAGGAUUAAAUCUCUCUUUAGGGCUGACAUUACGGGUGGGAUGAUUGCCAUUGAUAUCUCAUCUGUGCCAUGUGCUUCAGAAUAGCAUGUUGCACCAAAGUGUCUCUUGCCACCAAUCAGAUCUCAGUGAGUGGAAAAGAAACGUCUGCCUCAGACCGAGUAGGGUGAGCGAAGGGCAGGUGCUGGCAUUGGAGAUGUCAUAGUUACAGCUGGG
RNAcentral lists this long non-coding RNA (1411 nucleotides) under Anser cygnoides (Swan goose). Its description in RNAcentral is "lncRNA (ENSACDG00005008856.1)". Lineage: Eukaryota; Metazoa; Chordata; Aves; Anseriformes; Anatidae. The record is from RNAcentral.